Molecule: non-coding RNA, 3407 nt
Organism: Ictidomys tridecemlineatus (thirteen-lined ground squirrel)
Lineage: Eukaryota; Metazoa; Chordata; Mammalia; Rodentia; Sciuridae
Source: RefSeq, a predicted model, not a curated record
GGAUUACUGUCAGUUUCAUGUGGCUCAAGCUAUUUUGGGUUUGCUUUUCAGUCCUUAAAAUCUUUUGUGCAUCAGGUCCAUUACCUAACUAACUGCUGAGCCUUGGUUUGUGACAGGAACGCAACAUGUACUUUGCAGAGUUGCCACAAGGCUUAGCUAUGACAUGUAAAAGUAUUCUGUUCGGAAAUCCUAAAUGUUCUGGAAAUAGUUAAUAAUAGAAGGUUAUUGUCCAUAUAAAUAAGUUAGAGGAUUUCCUCAUUUUCUCCUCCAGCAAUACUGCAUGUAUGGCAUGGAUGAUGGUUGCUAUGGGAAAGAGAAAUGGAAAAUGUUUGUUGGCCCAACAUGAUUUUUAAAACCCCAAUAGCUUUAUAGGCUUUCUCCUUCUGUAUGCUCUGGUAUGUCCUAGUAAGGUCACAGAUAAAGUCUGACAUACUUGGUGAAGUAACUAAAUAGGAAAUGUACUGAAACAAACCAAGAACAGAGUUAAAAAAAAAAAAAUCAAAGCCCUGAGCAAACAUUCUGAACUUUUGGCAGCAGAAUUGGGCUGCCCGAAUCCCCAUGACUCUCUGAGUUAUUAAUAGUGACUCACUUUGCCAUAUUUUGAGCAGAUAUAUAUUUAUAGGUUAUACAGUGUCUGUGUGUAGAGACUUGCAACAUUUGAUGGCCUUCUUGAAAAGUGUGUUGUCCCGGGAGAGAGUGGGACCAGGGUGCCGUCUUGUCAUCUGGGUAGCACCUAGCUCGUUAAAUGCUACGGGGAAAGAUGGGUGCUGCAGCAAAGCCUGGAACACGGCUCCCAUCUGCUCUGCCAGAAGCACGAUGAACUCAGGAGUUGCACAACAGUAGUAAUUCGCAGCUAUUUAUGACCAUUUUCAUAGCGAAAGGUCUAGAUUAGAAGGCUGUGUUUACAUGCCAAGCAGCAAAAACGGUUCCAUGAAUCAUCCCACAGUAACUUUUGGUCAAACCAAUCAACCGAGUAAUGAAAAACCAAGCAGCUGGUCUAGAAGCUGUGAUGAACACACCUCAUAGUAGCCUCCACCUUCAGGAUGCUCUUCUGAAUCUGAGAUCAAAUGGACUCCCACCCCCACAGGGUGCUGUGCCCAUCAUUAAGAAAACAUAUUUUUAGCCCAUGUUUAUUUUCUCCUGGUCAUGGCUCCAUUAGGUGACUUCAAUUAGUGACCCCAUGACUCAUUUGCAUCAAGACCGGUAAAACCCUUUCAUUUGUCCAUUUAAACUGACUUGAGGUUUUAGUUAAUUACCACUUCCUGUCAGCCUGAAGGUCAGACUAUUUCCCUUUGUUUCACUCAGCAGUUAAUCCCCUCAUUAAGGGCGAUGGGAAAUGAAUAAUUAAACAUGUGCCAUUUUCAUAGUUCAGGUAGUGAGAGGCCCUCAGGUCCCAGAGGAUGCUCCCAGAGAAAAAGUCAGGAAAGUGUUGAAGACCCUGUCUCCCCCAAACAUGCAAGUUUCUAUCUGCCUCCACGAAGGCUUUUCCCCUAAAUUGAAGCAAAAUGAAAACAGCAGUUAUGGGGCAGGGCUGUGACCCUCGAUAGCUGUGGGACUUGAGGGGAAGAAGCUCACCUUUGACACUAGAGAUUUUCUCCAUUAUAUAACGGGAGUGAUAAUGGGAAUUAAAAGAGCUUAUGAUGGUGGCUGCCACAUAGUAGGAGAUCAGUGAAUGUUAGCUACGUGUGCUGUUCUCAUCAUCACGUGGGCAGUCACCUUCUGAGUGCUUGUGGGUUUUAGGCCUUAAUCCAAUACCCACUUGCAGAGUGUUUGGAUGUUCACUGGGACAAGGAUCAAGGGUAAAUUUUGUUAGUUUCUGGAGAAAGAACAGAGGUAGCCACGUCUCUAGGGUGAUAAGGAAUUUAACUCCUACCAGAUUAGGGCUGGGGAUAUAGCUCAGUUGGUAGAAUGUUAGCCUUGCACGUAUAAGGCCCUGGGUUCUAAUCCCCAGCACCACAAAAAAAAAAAAAAAUGACCAUUAACUUCAAUCAAAGCACUGGAAAAAUUUCUACCAAACUUCUGCUAGUUACUCUAACAGGGUAUUUUGUAUUUUUGAGGGUGGAGGCCUAUAGGCAGAAGAAAGACAGUAGAUGGGAUCCAGAAGGAAGGGGAAGCCACCCAUAGAAGCUUCCACUGGUGCAAUCCAAAUUCCUGACAUAGAAGCCAGGUCCCACUACCUCAGCCCUCCCACUGCUUCUCCAUUUCAGGAGGUCCCCCAGGGCCCAGCCAAAAGUAGAUUGAGGAAGUCCUGGCCCCAUCAAGAAAUGCCUCUGAGUCUACCUUGGUCAUUUCUUUUGCCAAGUCAGUCAGGGAACUGCACAUAGUAGGGAUGCCUACCUUCAAGAUAGAGUUCAGAGAAAGCUCUAUAGAGGAAAGUGGGUCUUAGCUGAGUUUGGAAGGAAGACUAAGACUUGGUUGGCUGUUAAAUAGGAGAUAUUUCAAGUCAGUCAGUUCAAGAGCAGAAUGGGAAGGGUCUGGGGUGUUCUUAAAAUAGGAAACCUGUGAGACGGAAACAGGCUGCCUGUGGGACUGACAUUGGCCAAGGCUGUUGAUGAGGGUGGGAAGGUUGGAUGAAGCUCUUGGACUUUAUCCUGCCGUUGAUACAGAUGAUAGAGGAUGGAGGAAGGAUUCUAGAGGGAGAGCGUAGUACUGUGCAGGCAGAAUUGGUAGGGAGAGGCUUAAUGAGAGAAAGAUUAGUUCGAGGUCAAGGGCCUGAGAUAAAGGGAAGCUGAGAAUGAGAAGGAAAAUACAAUGAAUUAGAGCAGCUCUAUGAUUAUUGCAAAGGAGGUGGAAACUAUUGCUCAUUCCUGAGUCUUAAAAUUCAUUCUGUCAUUGCUUUACCCCAAAUAGUCAUUCCUAGCUGGAUUUUGGGGGGGGGGGGAAAUAUUUUGCCAUUUUAAAAAAGGUUCUAGUAAGAAGUAGCUUUGAAACUGCUCAUGGAAGAAUAAAAGUCACUGGGGGAGAAUGAACAGAGUGUGAAUGAUUGAAGAGUGAACAUGCACGGGAAUUGAUGCUCAAUGUGACAAACACAGUCUCACAGCUACUUCAGUCCCCAUCAGUACAGAGGAAUCCUUUCUAGAUUGUCCCAAAGGGGAGAAAAAUAUUAUAAUGAUGUAGUUAACAAGUUGUAUGAACUUGUAAUUGAAAAAAAUUAUAUCAGAAAAUUAAACCUGGAGAACUUAAAUAUUCUUUUAUCAUUUUAUAGAGGAAUGACCAGAACAAAACAGUGAAGAAACACCCUGAGUCACCAGCCCAUGAAUAUUGGAUCUAUUGCCAGAAGGACCAAAUUGCUCCUCAGAGUUAAGGGCUUCUUUCUCUGGAUGUGUUCCUGAACCUUCAGAGUUAGGAACAGCAGAUGCAAACACUAAAGCAGCUCUCGUCCUCCAAAGGGAAAUGUGAAAGGUAAG